GCCUUCGUAAUGUAAUGGUCAGCAUGCUCAACGCAUAACCGAGAGGUCCGUGGUUCGAUUCCUGGUGAAGGCA
Molecule: non-coding RNA, 73 nt
Organism: Stegodyphus mimosarum
Lineage: Eukaryota; Metazoa; Arthropoda; Arachnida; Araneae; Eresidae
Source: Rfam